CGCGACCGCAGCGAUGGAUGGCGCUGGUGGGGGCUGCACGCGCCCACGGCUCGCCCUCUCUCGCGUUAAAUCACACCGUAGGACAGGGGAGCGGACGUAGACUGGCAGCGACAGCACACGGGGCAAAGUGAAAAAGGAUAUAAAAGUGUUGAAGAGGUCCCCACCUGGGAGCAGAAGUGCCGCCUAAACAGCAUUUAUCUGCUAGGAUCUGCCAAAGGACGCGUUGGACACACUCUCAAGUCCUCAAACAAAAACUGCUAAAUCCAAGGAGCUAAAAAAAUAAAAAGCCAACCGCUGGCUCCAGCAAGUGGACAGAUUUUAAAGUAAAAACACGGCUGGACAGGGGGAGGGUUGUAUGGGUGCCAAAUCCCCAUCCAAGACUCACCACACCUCCUCGGUCUACGGCCUCCCUCCUCUUCCUCCCUCCUCUUCCUCCCUCCAUUGCCUCCUCCGCCUCAGCUCUUCUCUCAUUCCCCCUCGUUCUCUCUCAUGGGAGUGACAUAGAGGCCGUCGCUUGGUCUACUGCCCCGCCCCUUCCCCUCCCCUUCCCCGCCUCGCCGCGGAAACGGGGGGGUCCAGGUAGUAAUGUCGUGGAAGAGGAACUACUUUGCGUCGGGUGGCGGAGCAGUAGGAGGGGUGCAGGGGCUGGUGACCCCGAGAACCAUGACCUCUAUUGCACCCAGCAAAGGCCUGAGCAACGAACCGGGACAGAACAGCUGCUUCCUCAACAGUGCUCUGCAGGUUCUGUGGCAUCUCGACAUCUUCCGCAGAAGCUUCCGACAGCUGACCACACACAAGUGCAUGGAGGACUCGUGUAUCUUUUGUGCUUUAAAGAGUAUCUUUGCUCAGUUCCAGUUCAGCAGUGAGCGUGUACUCCCAUCAGAUGCACUGCGGAGCGCUCUGGCCAAGACUUUCCAAGACGAACAACGCUUUCAGCUGGGCAUCAUGGACGACGCUGCCGAGUGCUUUGAGAAUCUCCUGAUGCGUAUCCACUUCCACAUCAGUGCAGAGAGCAGAGAGGACAUCUGCACAGCCAAACACUGUAUACCACACCAGAAGUUUGCCAUGACUCUGUUCGAACAGUGUGUGUGUAACAGCUGUGGAGCCACAUCGGACCCCUUGCCCUUCAUUCAGAUGGUUCAUUACAUCUCCACUACAUCCCUCUGCAACCAGGCGGUGAGGAUGCUGGAGUGCAGAGAGAAAGCUACACCGGACAUGUUCGGAGAGCUGCUCCGCAACGCCAGCAACAUGGGAGACCUGCGCAACUGCCCUAGUAACUGUGGGGAGGUGCUGCGUAUCCGCCGGGUGCUGAUGAACUCUCCAGAGAUCGUGUCCAUCGGCCUGGUGUGGGACUCGGACCACUCUGACCUGGCGGAGGACGUCAUACACAGCCUGGGAACCUGCCUGCGUCUGGGAGAUUUGUUCUACCGUGUGACAGAAGAGAGGGCUCGCCAGGCGGAGCUCUACUUGGUGGGCAUGGUGUGCUACUACGGCAAGCACUACUCCACCUUUUUCUUCCAGACCAAGAUACGCAAGUGGAUGUACUUCGACGACGCCCAAGUCAAGGAGAUCGGCCCUAAGUGGAAGGACGUGGUGUCUCGCUGUAUCAAAGGCCACUAUCAGCCCCUGCUGCUGCUCUACGCUGACCCCCGUGGGACGCCGGUGAUACUGCAGGAGAGCUCCAACCCCUGUACCAGCUCCAACCCACAGCUGGAGCUCCAGCACUGCAGCAGCAAGGCCGGUUACGACAGCGAAGACUCUGGUCGGGAGCCGUCUAUAUCCAGCGACACUCGUACUGACUCUUCCACGGACAGCUCGAGUCACCGCGCCACCCGCAGCCGAUCCCUCCACCAGUCCACGGGAAGCCACCUCUCCAGCGAGUCCCAGACCACGGUGGUGUGUAAUUACGACAUCGGCACACCGCAGCACGGUGCCGACGCUGGAGAGUCAGCAGUGGAGGGUCCUCCCCGCCCUUCCUCUCCUCCUCUGCAGGAGUACAAGGAGACGGCCGUCUUCCUCCUCUCCUCCCGCCGGCCACUCACCUCCUCCUCCUCCUCGUCUCGUCCCCUGUCCUCCUCCUCUUCGUCAGGAGUCGGGGGCUGUGAGGGCGGGGUUGGGGGCCCCCACUGGGAGGAUGAAAGCACCAGCAGUGAGAGCAAGUCCAGUUCUUCUGGAGGCCGCUACAGGCCGACCUGGAGGCCCAGGAGAGAGGCCCUGAACAUCGACAGCAUCUUCACCCGACCGAGAGGCCCCUCUCUGGGCUACAACACCCUGCCUGGUCCCUCUCGGCCUCCGGAGCCGCACAGCGUCUUUCCCUUGGCAGGCCCUGCUCCCCCCACACCGCCAGGACUGCAGGAGGCUGAAGGGAGGGAGGUUGGGGAGUGUGAGGCAGGGCUUGGGCUGGUCGGACAGCCCAGGUCUCUGGGCGGCGGGCGGACAAUGGGUCCUCCUCCCCCUCCGCCUCUGAGAGGGGUGGAACACCAACCGCGUCUGAUCCAGAGGAUGGAGAGUGGCUACGAGAGCAGUGAAAGAAACAGCAGCAGCCCCGAUAGGGAGGUGGGGCAACAGAAACGGGUACUGAUGUCAGGACCUUCUUGGCGUUCGGUGCCAAAGUCAAAGAGCAGCGGUGCCAUCCUGCAGGAGCUGCCCUCACCCAGCUGGGGCGGCGGCACCAACACAGGCGGCCGAGGGCGCAGUGAGCUGGACGAGCUGCAGGAGGAGGUGGCGAGGAGAGCCCGCCAACAGGAGCAGCUGAAGCGAAGGGAGGCGGAGCGAGAGAAGGCCAUGGGAUUUAACCCCAAACCCAGCAAAUUCAUGGACCUGGACCAGCUCCAACACCAGGCUGUGCUCAGACCCCUGCAUGAGGCUAACGCUCAUAGCGGAUUGGCUGUAGCUGCGUGCAUGAGGAGCACUGGGGGCCCAAUCAAACGCAGGCAGGAUCAGGAAAUGGAACGGGAGACAGGAAGCGCCCGCCCACAGGGGCCUCGCAGUGGACAGCCUGGCCCGGUCCAAGUACUGCUGACGCCCAAUCAGGAGGAGGAAGAGGACCAGGCAACGCCCAACCAGGACGCUGCUCUGGGCCCGGGCCCGCCCCCUCCACCCUAUCGGCACGCCCCCCCUCGACCCGCGCUCACCCUCAGCAUCCCUCACCCUUGCGCCCCUUCCAGCCGAGAAGAGGAAGAGGAGGAGGAGUGUGGAUGCAUGGGGAGGAGAGGGGAGGAAGGCGAGGAUGGGAGGGAGGGGACGGGGGUGAGGCUGUGCGAGUUGCUGCAGGCAGGGGGGGUGAGUGUCAGACCCCUGGGGAAGCACUUAGCUAUCUCUCUGCCCUCGCUUCCUCUGCGUCUCUGGGAUACACACACCAUACACACUGCACACUCCACACACCAUGAACACACACACUCACGUCCUCCUCCUCCGUCCUAUACUCCUGCACCAUCUUCCCCUCUGGAAGGCUCCGAGCAAAGGAAACCUCCCUGGCAGCCCCCCCAGCUUCAGUCCCCCACCGGUGCGGCUCAUUGGCCGGGGCAAGAAGCCGCGGCUGACAGCGCCACACGUCAUUGGUCCUCCUGGAGUCUGGACCGCCCCGACGCCGUGGUGACUCCGUACGACACCCCCCCGGACCGCUGUGUCCCCAUCAGGCCGCAGACCACCAGCCAGCAACACAGCUACAGUUGUCAGUCCUCUCCAGGGCACUACAGCUCCCAGCAUGCCCUAGGGCAACAGAGUGAUCACCGCUGUGACCGCGAAGAGGCUGAGCUGUCUGAGCUUGACUCCCUUUACCAAGCCAGUCUGCAGGCUGGAAGGACAGGGUGCAGUCCAUCAGAGAGGCUGAUAUCAAGGGUGGGGGGGCAGGGGCGCUCCAAGACCCCCAACGCAGACAUGGAGAGGAGUGUGUAUGGGGCAGACAGCACCAGCACCCCCACCUACCUCAACAAGCCAAUGACGUUGCGGGAUCUGCGUUUGGGGGCGGGGCCUGAUGAUGGGGAGAACCUGAGACGAAUUGGACGGAGCCUGAGCGGCACGGUAGUGACCCCGCGCCGCGGCCGCCUGACUGCAACCCGCAGCUUUGUGAAGCAGGCUGAUGUCAGUGCCUCUGCUUGCUUACUUCCUCUCUUCUGAAUCCCUGUUGCUCUUCCACCACUAUCAUCUCCUCCAUCCUCCUCAUCACCAACACCUUCUCAUCACCACCUCCCUCCUCCGCUUCACAGGAGCUAACCGGGAGUACAGGGAGUUUCUGGCUGUGUCUGACGGGGGUCAAGGUGUCUUCUGACCGGAGUCCCACUCUGCUUCACUAACGUCUCACAGUGUGGGGGGGCAGCAGCCAUGACGGACCUAGAAUUGGCUCCGGAGGAUCUACUCCUAUUAUGUUCCUCCUUCUCCUCCCUUAAACAACAUGCACGCACACAUGCACAUCUGCACUGACGUAGAGCCUCCCUCAGCGCCUGCAGCACCCCGCUUACCUCCCCCUACUCCCCCCUCCCCUUUCUUGACCUACUAUUCUGUCUAUGCAGUCACUCUGACCCCCAAACUACAACCUCAACCUUCCCACCUACUUCCCGGGACUCUUGUUUCUCCCCCCAGAGGUUUCUCUGUGCGAGCGUGAAUUCGCCCCCUUCAUCCUAAAGGAACCUCAGCUCAGGGGGGAGACCCCUACUAAGUAGCCACGCCUCUUCCUCUUUCUUCACGGGCAUUUCCUGUUGGACGCACACAUAGCCAAACUGGGUCUGUUUUUAGAUGGACUGCUAUACUUUUUCUCUUUUUCUUUUCGUUAGUUUUUUUCUUCCUGUGUGCGCGCACAGUAAACCCGCCCGGAGACUGAACUCACUAAUAACAAAAAGUCAUGUACAGAAAAACUCAUGUAUGAAACCUGUAUGUUAAUUAAUAAGACCUUAUGGAAUGUUGAUAAUGAUAAUUAAUGAAUAUUGAUAAACUUAAAGUGGUACUUCCUCAUGUCUGCUUUUCAAAUAGGAGUGGAGUGCACUUCACAAGUGUCUAGCUGGAGAUUCCGCCCCCCCCCUAAACCUGCUCGUCGACCUAAAUGACAGCUCUCCCGUUUCUUCCGGGAGAUUAAACAAGAAAAGCGCUUAUUUUUUUCUCUUCUUUCCUUUCUUUCUUGCUGUCUUUGAUUCACGCUUGCUCUUUUUCUUCCAAAACCCGAAACAGUAGCACCAGAAAUUGGACACAGGGGAGGAAAGUCGAGAAGGAAUGAGAGUAUGUACAUUAGGAGACCCUUCUCUGAGUAUUUAUCAGUGAAAACAUUGAUUGACUUAAGUGCGCUUUACAAGGUUACAUGGCAGAAGUGCACUUUCCGAAAGCUAUUUGACUGAGAAGCAGCUCGAUGGCGGUUAUUUUACUUAAAGGCCUCAGGUGAAUUUCAGUGGCACUUACAGAUUCACACUAUUGUUUUCCCCUCCCACUGAAACUUGUUUGAGACCUCAGAUGUUAAUAGGAAAUGCUCAUCUUCAGCCUGAGACAUGUCUAAUAUGAAUAUGCUUUAUAUGAUAUAUAUGUAUUAGAGGUAUAUUUUCGGCCAGUGAGCUAUCUUCUUCAGAGAUGUCAACCAUUCCUCAGUUGUAUGAACAGUUAUAACUUCAUUCACCCCCUUUACUGAGGAGCGUUCUGACAUGUGUAGAGUACAUUUAUUAUAUGCUUUAUUCUAUUUAAUAAUAUAUACAAAUAACAAAGUCCUUAUACAACAACUGGCCAAUGUAAAGUUCUUUUAGAAUUUACUGAUGAUUGAUCGUUGUAACUAAACCAAAGGUUGGCACUUAACUCAGAGAGCGUAUUUAACAUUGCUGUUUUUAUUUUCAUUUAGAUUUUGUUGUUGUUUUUGUUAGUUUUUUUGGGUUUCUGGAUUUGGGAGAAUGUAGCCAAUUGUAGCGCAUGAGUCCGCUAUGCAAAUCAACCUUCCCUCACGAUCCUGUAUCGGAGACAGCCACGAGGCAGACACACCCACCCACGGGCGCCCUCAUGGACUCUGGCAGAGACACGGAGGGGUGGAGGAGAUCUCAUGUUCAAUGCUGCUGGUGAACUUUGUUGUUCUGCAUCUAACUGCUAUGUUUCAACCUAUGGAAUGCAAAAAGAGAGCAACAAGGAGGUAGUGGGGAGCAAAAAAAAAAAAGGGAGAAAGAGCGAAUGAAUGUAAACUAAAGGAUGAAAGUGUGUGUUUGUGAAUAGUGUGAGGGUGAGAGACACGAGAGGUUCUGAGAGUGAAGAGUUUACCACUGCAGGUGCAUUGUAUGUGGGUGUGUGUAGACUGUGUGUCAGUUCUGGGGUUGUGUUGCUCGGGGAAAGAGGGAACCUGUAUUUUUGCAAUAAAGUUAUUACCAAUGCACUCCCACAGGGGGCGUAACCACCGUAAAA
Gymnodraco acuticeps is the source of this 6363-nucleotide RNA transcript. It is a transcript of the gene named inactive ubiquitin carboxyl-terminal hydrolase 54-like, with no coding region annotated. The record is from RefSeq and is a predicted model, not a curated record. NCBI's taxonomy places the organism in Eukaryota, Metazoa, Chordata, Actinopteri, Perciformes, Bathydraconidae. The transcript is spliced from 21 exons.